This is a long non-coding RNA of Lathyrus oleraceus (garden pea), 1649 nucleotides long. RefSeq lists it as uncharacterized. The record is from RefSeq and is a predicted model, not a curated record. The transcript is spliced from 3 exons. NCBI's taxonomy places the organism in Eukaryota, Viridiplantae, Streptophyta, Magnoliopsida, Fabales, Fabaceae.
CGAUGCAUCUCGUCCCAUUGAAUCUCCGUCUGAACACACAUGGUGCCAAGAACACGAUCCAAAAUCCAUAUCCCUUCACUUCAAAAAUUCCAGGCCAAACGCCGACGCUUCUUCACGGCACAACACCCUCACUCGCAAGAACUCGGGAUCCCAACUCAAAUCGAUUUGGCACCAACGCUCGCGAAUACGGAGAAAGAUCAAACAAAAUUAUUUAUUCGCGAAGAAUCAAGAAGACUUAAUGGAACUCGUGGCCGAUCCUUAUCAUUGAAUCGAAUCCAAAAUUAAAAACGCGCAUGGACGGACGAGGACGACGAGAGAAAACUCACCGGACGAUUUUGACGCGAUGACUCAGAGGCGUGAUGUAUCGGUUGUUAAUUCGUUCGUCGAUGUUGUCGCGUCUUGAAUCGCGUUGUGGAAAAGACUAAAGUUGGUGAUACACGAUCGAUUCAGAAGCUCUACGAGAAAUUCAAUGUCGUCGCUUUUGUCCAUGAUUCGAUCAUCAUUGUCGAUGCGUUGCGUAUCGCUGUUGUGGUUCUGAGAUGGAGAAUGUUGCGUUGUGGAUUGAGUUGACGCCAAGGAUGGUUCUUACCGUGAAGAGAAUCUAGGUUGAAGAAACGGCUAUGUCACGAUGAGGAAGCAAUUGAGGAUUGAAGGCUGAGAAUUCAGUUGAAGGUGAUGGAGAAUCGACUGGGAGAUUGGUUGAGGGUGAAGCCGUGUGAGAAGAGGAGUCAAGUUGUGUUAGGGAUUGAAGAGUUCCUUUUCUGAAUUUUGCAGGUUGUGUUAGAGAAGAAGAAUCGAUUGAAUGGUGACGGAGGGUGGUUCUUAUAGGAGAGUAAGGUUAGAGAGAUGGUUGGUUAUGGCAGUUGGAAGUAGUUAGAGUUUGUUGAAUUCGGUUCGAGUUUGUUUUUAGUUUGUUUUGACAGGUGGGAAGGGAGAAUUCAGUUAGCCUUUAGGUUGGUUGAAGAGAUGUUGGAGGAUAAGGAAAAUAGAUUCUGAAGGUGUUUGAAGUUGUUACAGAGGCUAAAUUCUGGAGGCAUUCUUCGGCAGUUGGUUUGUUACCGUCAAUGAUAUCAGUCACAACAUUUACAAAUAUUGCAGGAACUUUCAGUAGGUCUGCACUGACGGUGUUGCCGUAUGUUUUGUUUUGCUACUUGUGGCGGUUUGAUUGUCCGCAUUUUGGUAGCUUGUUGGUUACGGAGAUGCCUCCAUUUGGUUGUGGCUUAAUUUUGUGUAGGAUAAUAAGAGUUCUGUUUCAAGAGUAACGUUUGGAAGUAGAGAUUGAAGGAGGGUUUGGGCGUGGCAUUGUGAGGUAGUGGAAUGUGAUAUGCACGUUCGAAGGAGUGAUGAUAAGAAUUUUCUUGACAUAUUUAUUGAUCGUGUUCUGGAAUUCGUUCAGUGAAGGUAACACUGAUGAUGGUAAUGGGGCGAAUUUGAAGUUAUUGUUUGAGACAUUUGGGUUAGCCAAAGUAGAAUUUACUUUGGAUUGCUGGUUUUGUGGGAUUUGGCGGUUAGCUUGAAAUAUAAAGUGAGUCCAUUGUGGAAUUGUCAAGUUGUUGUUGUGAAUCAUUUUUAUAUUUUGUUUUCUUGAUGUUAGUUUGGCAAUGCGAAAAGUAAAUACCAAAGACUUCUAAAAAGCGCUUUUGCUUCAA